This 1178-nucleotide ribosomal RNA is filed under the name Pectobacterium carotovorum. RNAcentral describes it as "bacterial SSU rRNA". It matches the Rfam family "Bacterial small subunit ribosomal RNA", at positions 69 to 1225 of the family's 1533-position model. The record is from RNAcentral. Lineage: Bacteria; Pseudomonadati; Pseudomonadota; Gammaproteobacteria; Enterobacterales; Pectobacteriaceae.
GUACACAGAGAGCUUGCUCCCGGGUGACGAGCGGCGGACAGGUGAGUAAUGUCUGGGAAACUGCCUGAUGGAGGGGGAUAACUACUGGAAACGGUAUCUAAUACCGCAUAACGUCUCACGACCAAAGAGGGGGACCUUCUGGCCUCUUGCCAUCUCAUGUGCCCAGAUGGGAUUAUCUAUUAUGUGGGGUAACGGCUCUCCUAUGCGACAAUCCCUAUCUGGUCUGAGAGGAUGACCCCCCACACUGGAACUGAGACACGGUCCACACUCCUACGGGAGGCGGCAGUGGGGAAUAUUGCACAAUGGGCGCACGCCUGAUGCACCCCUGCCGCGUGUGUGAAAAAAGCCUUCUGGUUGUAAAGUACUUUCUCCGGGGAGGAAAGUGUUGAGGUUAAUAACCUCUCCAAUUGACGUUACCCGCACAAAAAACACCGGCUAACUCCGUGCCACCACCCGCGGUAAUACGGAGGGUGCGAGCGUUAAUCUCAAUUACUGGGCGUAAAGCGCACGCACGCGGUCUGUCAAGUCUGAUAUGAAAUCCCCGGGCUCAACCUGGGAACUGCGUUCUAAACUGUCAGGCUAUAGUCUUGUAUAGGGGGGGUAUAAUUCUAGGUGUAUCGGUGAAAUGCGUAUAGAUCUGUAGGAAUACCGGUGGCGAAGGCGGCCCCCUGUACAAAGACUGACACUCACGUGCGAAAGCGUGUGGAGCACACACGAUUAUAUACCCUGGUAGUCCACGCCGUAUACGAUAUCUACUUGUAGGUUGUGCCCUUGAGGCGUGUCUUCUGGAGCUAACGCGUUAAGUCUACCGCCUGUGGAGUACAGCCGCACGGUUAUAACUCUCAUGUAUUGACAGGGGCCCGCACAAGCGCUGGAGCAUGUGGUUUAUUUCUAUGCACCGCGCAGAACCUUACCUACUCUUGACAUCCAGAGAACUUUCCACAGAUGUAUUGUUGCCUUCUCGAACUCUGAGACAGGUGCUGCAUGGCUGUCGUCACCUCUCGUUGUGAAAAGUUGGGGUUAAAUCCCGCAACAAAGAGCAACCCCUUUUCUUUUUUUGUCCACCGGUUCUGCCCGGGAACUCUAAAGAGACUUCCCCUUGUUAAAUUGGGGGAAAAGUGGGGGAUGACGACUCAGUCCUCCUUGGGCCCUUACAAGAAAGGGGGCUACCCCCUUGU